GCCAACUUAUAACUUACCUUCCUGGUUGAAUAAAAGCUUUUCUUGAAGUUGAGUUAACUUGUGUUUUUAAGGCAGCAAUUGAACUUAAGUUUUUAAGUUGAAUCACCCUGAUAAUUUUUACAGUGUACAGAGACAUAUUGCA
Long non-coding RNA from Thalassophryne amazonica, 142 nucleotides. RefSeq lists it as uncharacterized. The transcript has 3 exons. Lineage: Eukaryota; Metazoa; Chordata; Actinopteri; Batrachoidiformes; Batrachoididae. The record is from RefSeq and is a predicted model, not a curated record.